GCAAAUGUGAUGAUGAGUAAAGCGGUACGCCACUACGCCAGAGAUUUCCCGGUGGCUGGAAGGGAAAAGGGCCCCGCUUGAAGAUGGUCACCACCAGCCCCAGGGUGAGGGAACAAGCCUUGGGCGGUGCGGCGCCGUUACCGGCCGGUAGGUCAUUGACCCAUUGAGGUGCUCCCUGUGAGGGGGGCGUGAAAAAAGGUGGUACCACGGGAUCGUCAGCCCGUCCUUUGC
RNAcentral lists this non-coding RNA (231 nucleotides) under Limosilactobacillus fermentum. The record is from RNAcentral. Lineage: Bacteria; Bacillati; Bacillota; Bacilli; Lactobacillales; Lactobacillaceae.